RNAcentral lists this ribosomal RNA (55 nucleotides) under Streptomyces sp. 136MFCol5.1. RNAcentral describes it as "23S rRNA. Bacterial LSU". The record is from RNAcentral. Lineage: Bacteria; Bacillati; Actinomycetota; Actinomycetes; Kitasatosporales; Streptomycetaceae.
GAAGCCCGGCAACGGGUGGAGCUGACUGGUACUAAUAGGCCGAGGGCUUGUCCUC